RNAcentral lists this transfer RNA (73 nucleotides) under Ixodes scapularis (black-legged tick). It matches the Rfam family "tRNA". Rfam says of the family: Transfer RNA (tRNA) molecules are approximately 80 nucleotides in length. Their secondary structure includes four short double-helical elements and three loops (D, anti-codon, and T loops). Further hydrogen bonds mediate the characteristic L-shaped molecular structure. tRNAs have two regions of fundamental functional importance: the anti-codon, which is responsible for specific mRNA codon recognition, and the 3' end, to which the tRNAs corresponding amino acid is attached (by aminoacyl-tRNA synthetases). tRNAs cope with the degeneracy of the genetic code in two manners: having more than one tRNA (with a specific anti-codon) for a particular amino acid; and 'wobble' base-pairing, i.e. permitting non-standard base-pairing at the 3rd anti-codon position. Lineage: Eukaryota; Metazoa; Arthropoda; Arachnida; Ixodida; Ixodidae. The record is from Rfam by way of RNAcentral.
CCCUGGUUAGCUCAGUUGGUAGAGCGCUCCACUUGUAAUGGAGAGGCGGAUUUUUUCGGUCGCUCACCAGUCA